GACGAACGCUGGCGGCGUGCCUAAUACAUGCAAGUCGAACGCUUCUUUCCUCCCGAUGUCUUGCACUCGAUUGGAAAGCGGGGGGGUGGACGGGGGAGUAACACGUCUGUAACUUACCCAUCAGAGGGGGAUAACACUUGGAAACAGGUGCGAAUACCGCGUAACAGUUUAUGCCGCAGGGCAUAAGAGUGAAAGGCGCUGUCGGGUGUCGUUGAUGGAUGGACCGCCGGUGCGUGAGCUAGUCGGUGAGGUAACGGUACACCGAGGCAACGAUGCACAGCCGACCUGAGUGGGUGAUCGGCCACCCUGGAACUUGGCCAGGGCCCAUACUCCUACGGGAGGGAGCAGUAGGGUAUCUUCGGCAAUGGACGAGAGUCUGACCGAGCAACGCCGCGUGAGUGAAAGAGGUGUUCGGAUCGUAAUGCUCUGUUGUUAGAGAAGAACAACGACCUUAGUAACUGAACGGCGCCUGACGGUAACUAGUCAGAAAGCCACGGCUAACUACGUG
This 508-nucleotide ribosomal RNA is filed under the name uncultured bacterium. RNAcentral describes it as "partial 16S ribosomal RNA". It matches the Rfam family "Bacterial small subunit ribosomal RNA", at positions 28 to 507 of the family's 1533-position model. The record is from RNAcentral.